RNAcentral lists this ribosomal RNA (482 nucleotides) under uncultured bacterium. RNAcentral describes it as "partial 16S ribosomal RNA". It matches the Rfam family "Bacterial small subunit ribosomal RNA", at positions 30 to 507 of the family's 1533-position model. The record is from RNAcentral.
AUUGAACGCUGGCGGCAUGCCUUACACAUGCAAGUCGAACGGUAACGGGCCUUCGGGUGCCGACGAGUGGCGAACGGGUGAGUAAUACAUCGGAACGUGCCCGACCGUGGGGGAUAACGAGGCGAAAGCUUUGCUAAUACCGCAUACGAUCUACGGAUGAAAGCAGGGGACCGCAAGGCCUUGCGCGGACGGAGCGGCCGAUGGCAGAUUAGGUAGUUGGUGGGAUAAAAGCUUACCAAGCCGACGAUCUGUAGCUGGUCUGAGAGGAUGAUCAGCCACACUGGGACUGAGGCACGGCCCAGACUCCUACGGGAGGCAGCAGUGGGGAAUUUUGGACAAUGGGCGCAAGCCUGAUCCAGCCAUGCCGCGUGCAGGAUGAAGGCCUUCGGGUUGUAAACUGCUUUUGUACGGAACGAAAAGCCUUCUUUUAAUACAGGAGGGUCAUGACGGUACCGUAAGAAUAAGCACCGGCUAACUACGUG